Non-coding RNA from Podarcis lilfordi (Lilford's wall lizard), 93 nucleotides. The record is from the annotation of a GenBank genome assembly. NCBI's taxonomy places the organism in Eukaryota, Metazoa, Chordata, Lepidosauria, Squamata, Lacertidae.
AGUCUCUCUCUCUCUCUCUCUCUCUCUCUCUCUCACACACACACACACACACAGAGAGAGAGAGAGAGAGAGAGAGAGAGAGAGAGAGAGACU